CCGUGCCAGCAGCCGCGGUAAUACGAAGGGACCUAGCGUAGUUUGGAAUCACUGGGCUUAAAGAGUCCGUAGGUGGAUAAAAAAGUUGGAGGUGAAAUCCCGCAGGCUUAACUCUGAAAUUGCCAUCGAAACUUAUUAGCUUGAGUUAUAUCGAGGAAAGCAGAAUUUGUAGUGUAGAGGGGAAAUUCGUAGAUAUUUCAUAGAAUCCCCAUUGGGAAGGCAGCUUUCUGGAACCCUACUUACCCUGCGGAACGAAAGCGUGGGUAGCGAAACAGGAUUAGAUAUCCCCGCGUAUGUUCACUAGCCGUAAAUCGAAGGGUGAUAGAGCGUGGGGACUUAUGUUACAGUGUCUCAGCGAAACGCGAUAAG
RNAcentral lists this ribosomal RNA (369 nucleotides) under uncultured marine bacterium. RNAcentral's name for it is "bacterial SSU rRNA". It matches the Rfam family "Bacterial small subunit ribosomal RNA", at positions 503 to 864 of the family's 1533-position model. The record is from RNAcentral.